Heterocephalus glaber (naked mole-rat) is the source of this 653-nucleotide long non-coding RNA. The record is from Ensembl. NCBI's taxonomy places the organism in Eukaryota, Metazoa, Chordata, Mammalia, Rodentia, Bathyergidae.
GGAAGGCAAAUUUGACUUUGUGUUUUGUCGCUCUGGGGUAAAACAGGAAGGAUAGGGUCCCCUGAGCCAGGAUCGGUGACAGCUGCGGAUCUUGCCUCUCUCCGCGCUCAGAAAUGCAGUGCUCUGUCGCCACCUGGUGGGAGGAGCAGAUAAUACGAGGGGUGGCCCCUUCGGAUGCGACCACUCACCCUACCACAGAGAGAAUGUUCCCAUUCCAACCCAGAGGAAGAGGCAUCAAUGGCCUGCAUGGUGUUGUGGAACCCACAGUGACUCUCCAUACAGACUGUCCCUGAGGUACAGAAGGAUGAGGGCCCUGGGAGAGGCCACAGAGGGGGACAGCUGUUAUUGUGCCAGUCAGGGUAGAGCAAGAGGAAGCUCCUUGGCUCAUCUGCUCCCCCAACUCUUACCUCUUUCUGGGGGCUUCCCUCUGGUCUCCAGUACUGCAGCCUGAAAGUGUGAGUAAGUCAACCUCCAAGGCAACUUCCGACCACAGCAGCUAGAGCUGUUGCAGACACGCUCCUUUCUGACCCUUGGUGGACAAUUCUGAGGGCCACUCCACACAGUUCCUCAGCAUGUCCCAGCUGGACCCAGCCCUAGUGGUCCCACAGUGGUGACCAGUUCCACAAACACUGUUGUACUGGCUUUCCUGGCUC